UAAUACGUAGGGGGCAAGCGUUGUCCGGAAUCAUUGGGCGUAAAGCGCGCGUAGGCGGCCCUGUAAGUCCGUUGUGAAAGUCAAAGGCUCAACCUUUGAAAGCCGAUGGAUACUGCAGGGCUAGAGUCCGGAAGAGGCGAGUGGAAUUCCUGGUGUAGCGGUGGAAUGCGCAGAUAUCAGGAGGAACACCAAUAGCGAAGGCAGCUCGCUGGGACGGUACUGACGC
This 226-nucleotide ribosomal RNA is filed under the name uncultured bacterium. RNAcentral's name for it is "partial 16S ribosomal RNA". It matches the Rfam family "Bacterial small subunit ribosomal RNA", at positions 521 to 746 of the family's 1533-position model. The record is from RNAcentral.